This is a long non-coding RNA of Homo sapiens (human), 1873 nucleotides long. RefSeq lists it as uncharacterized. The transcript is spliced from 2 exons. Lineage: Eukaryota; Metazoa; Chordata; Mammalia; Primates; Hominidae. The record is from RefSeq and is a predicted model, not a curated record.
GGGCAGUCACCUGCGGCGCCCCCUUCCCGGCGCUAGAGCGGCCCGCGGAGAGACGCGGAGAAGCAACGGGAAUCUAGCCCGGCAGACUGUACCCGAGGGCUGCCGAAGUCAGACCCAAGCACUACAGGUUGUGCGGAACGCGAGGACCCCUCCCUGUAUCCCCAACCUGGACCGACCCCCGGAAGCCUGCUCCUCCGGGUCUACAGGAGCAGCUCACGCUGGAGCCCCCAAAGAAGCCCCCAUACCUCAGGUGUCUACACUGAAAGUGGACACUCUUCUACCCACCUCCACACUUUAGAAGACAGAAUGCCGCCCAAGGCCGGACCCAGAACCCGCAGCAAAGAGGAUCUGCAACCUUGUCCUCCUCACUGCUGGCCAAGAGUCCACGCCGCGGAGGUCGCAGCUGACUAGGUGAGGGCGGGAGACUGCCUGCUCGUCUCCUCCUGGCCCCGGCUAUCCAGGGCGUCGAGGUGAGGUCCGCAGCCACUCGGGCGGUGCACAACAUGUUCCAGGAGUCCCGCGGCCGAGCGGCGCACAGAGGAGCAAGGAGAGGACCGGAAGAACCGUGCUCUUGGCUGCAAUUUGUUUCCAAGAGUGCCAAGACAUGCCCGAGACUCUCAGCGCGCUCUCAGAGCAUCAACUCAAGCACCGAAAAAAUCUACCUUUGCCUUCCCGGGGAUUCAUUCUGGGGUAUGCCUGUGUGUGUUUCUUUUUAAGACCACUAUAGUGGGAACAAACCAGGAGGUGCCGAGUUGCAAUAAAAUUAGAACCCAUAAUUAACACAGCUAGCUGGGCCCAAGUGGCUCGGAAGUGCACGUAGUGGAGUCAGUUGGCCUUCCUCCGCGGAGUCCGGGCUACAGUUGCGUUUUCUUUCUUUGGAAUGCAUCUUGGAGUCAGGAUCAACUCCUUUCAUUCCCUGCAAACAGCGAAUAAAUAAAUCAUUUCAUUUAUAAAAAACGAUAACGAUAAAGAGAUUUCAGCGCACCCUGCGAGAGGUGGUAGUCAGGAGAAGAGAAAGCCCAAAGGUUGUUAGGUGCAGGGGUCACUUUUACUGCCUUGGGAAAAUGCAUUUUAGCCGCGGAAUUCGUUCCGUGGGGAUUGGGGGUGCGCCUCCGAGGCGGGCCCGAGGGCCAGAACUGCGAAAUCCCAAGUUAGUGUUUUCAGGUUUCGGACAAAAACUGCGAUCCAUACGAGGACCUUACUGUUCGCAUCUUGGCGGGGAUCACGAAAGCUCUACAGGCCAGCAGGAACCUUGCGGCUAGCGGGGGCAUUCCUGCAACCUCCUGCGCAGGGAUCCUACGCCUCAGGUCUUCUUACUGGCUGGGGUUGGCCCUCCCGGGAACUGGGCAGGCUCUAAUAGGCCCCUCUACCUGCAGGCUGUUUGCUCCAAGAGGCGGAUUUGUGGGGUCCAGGGCGAACCCUUUCCUCUUCCCUUUGCCAGUCAGUGCUCCUCCUGCCUAAAAAUUUUACCCUCACCAGGACCAACGAAAGAGCUGACCUCUUACCUCCUCCACAGCGGCUGUGGCUUUCUAGACAAGCUGCGUGUCUGAGCCACUGGGAGAACAGAGUAUAACCACCUCUCCAUGGACACGAUUGGAAGGCAGUUCUAGGAAAAUUGUUAAAGGACCCAACAAUGUUUUCAAUGGACACACAGAGGCUAAGGAAGAGAAAUGUAAAAAUGAAAUAAAUAUAAUUUCAAAAGUGUUUAACUCUUUAAUAAGCCAGGAGGGGUAAAACACAGUACCAUCUUUGCAGAGUAAACCAAUUUUGCCAGCAGGUACAAACUGUUGUGUUUUUUUCUAACGAGAGAGGGGGGGAAAAGGCUGCUUGCAUAUGAUUCACAUUUUUCAUCAAUAAAAUGUUUUUAAAUUAA